RNAcentral lists this ribosomal RNA (1086 nucleotides) under uncultured Chitinivibrionia bacterium. RNAcentral describes it as "bacterial SSU rRNA". It matches the Rfam family "Bacterial small subunit ribosomal RNA", at positions 159 to 1216 of the family's 1533-position model. Lineage: Bacteria; Pseudomonadati; Fibrobacterota; Chitinivibrionia. The record is from RNAcentral.
GGGGCUAAUACCGGAUGUGGUCCCGAGACCGCAUGGUUUUGGGAUUAAAGCUGACCUCUACUUGUAAGUUUGCACUUGGAGAUGGACUUGCGCACCAUUAGCUAGUUGGCAGGGUAAUGGCCUACCAAGGCUGUGAUGGUUAGCCGACCUGAGAGGGCGAUCGGCCACAUUGGGACUGAGAUACGGCCCAGACUCCUACGGGAGGCAGCAGUAGGGAAUUUUGCGCAAUGGACGAAAGUCUGACGCAGCGACGCCGCGUGAGGGAUGAAGGUCUUCGGAUUGUAAACCUCUGUUGAGUGGGAAGAAAACGUCCGCGGGUAAUAUCUGCGGGCCUUGACGGUACCGCUCGAGGAAGCCCCGGCUAACUACGUGCCAGCAGCCGCGGUAAUACGUAGGGGGCAAGCGUUGUUCGGAAUUACUGGGCGUAAAGGGAGUGUAGGCGGGGAGAUAAGUUAGGAGUUUAAUGCUCAGGCUCAACUUGAGACCUGCUCUUAAGACUGUCUCUCUUGAGUAUGGGAGAGGGUGAUGGAAUUCCAGGUGUAGCGGUGGAAUGCGUAGAUAUCUGGAAGAACACCAGUUGCGAAGGCGGUCGCCUGGCCCAAUACUGACGCUGAGGCUCGAAAGCUAGGGGAGCAAACAGGAUUAGAUACCCUGGUAGUCCUAGCCUUAAACGAUGGACACUAGAUGUUGGAGAAGUCAAUCUCUUCAGUGUCGUAGCUAACGUGAUAAGUGUCCCGCCUGGGGAGUACGCUCGCAAGGGUGAAACUCAAAGGAAUUGACGGGGGCCCGCACAAGCGGUGGAGCAUGUGCUUCAAUUCGAUGCAACGCGAAGAACCUUACCUGGGUUUGACAUGGGAGUGAAAGUCGCCAGAGAUGGUGGCCCUUCCGCAAGGAACACUCCACACAGGUGCUGCAUGGUUGUCGUCAGCUCGUGUCGUGAGAUGUUGGGUUAAGUCCCGCAACGAGCGCAACCCUCGCUCUUAGUUGCCAUCAGGUAAAGCUGGGAACUCUAAGGGGACCGCCUGUAAUAAACAGGAGGAAGGUGGGGAUGACGUCAAAUCAUCAUGGCCCUUACGUCCAGGGCAA